GUGGGGAAUAUUGGACAAUGGGCGGAAGCCUGAUCCAGCAACGCCGCGUGAGGGAUGACGGCCUUCGGGUUGUAAACCUCUUUCAGUGAGGACGAAGGGUUUCUGACGGUACUCACAGAAGAAGGACCGGCCAACUACGUGCCAGCAGCCGCGGUAAUACGUAGGGUCCGAGCGUUGUCCGGAAUUAUUGGGCGUAAAGGGCUCGUAGGCGGUUUGUCGCGUCGGGAGUGAAAACAGCCAGCUUAACUGGUUGCUUGCUUUCGAUACGGGCAGACUAGAGGUAUGCAGGGGAGAAUGGAAUUCCUGGUGUAGCGGUGAAAUGCGCAGAUAUCAGGAGGAACACCGGUGGCGAAGGCGGUUCUCUGGGCAUUACCUGACGCUGAGGAGCGAAAGUGUGGGGAGCGA
RNAcentral lists this ribosomal RNA (405 nucleotides) under uncultured Nocardioides sp. RNAcentral describes it as "bacterial SSU rRNA". It matches the Rfam family "Bacterial small subunit ribosomal RNA", at positions 354 to 771 of the family's 1533-position model. Lineage: Bacteria; Bacillati; Actinomycetota; Actinomycetes; Propionibacteriales; Nocardioidaceae. The record is from RNAcentral.